CUCAGUUCCAUUUUGAUCUGCUAUAAGUAGGUGAGACGAAGGCUCAUUGUACAGUAUCUGCAACAACUGGAAUCAUAAUGAAGUGCAUUUUGGCUUCUGUCAUUGCCCUUGGCAUUUUGGUGACAACAUGUAAUGGCGCCUGCGUAAGAUCCCUGCCAGUAUUCGGGGCAGCCCAUAGAGGUUGCCUUUAUGGAAACAAGGUGUAUAAAUUGGGGAGCAGAUUUAGAAAUAAUUGCAGGGACUGCAAUUGUUUGAAUGAUGGCUCAAUGCAAUGUUGUAAUGUAUAUAGAACCCCAGCGAAAUAUGAUAAAGAAAAUUGUGAGGCUAUAUUUAAUAAGCAAACCUGCAUUUACAGUGUUGUGGAAAAGAAAGAUCAUUCAAAGGAAUGUGAGAUUUAUGCUGUGGUAGGCUGAAAUGGCCGUCUCCUUGGGCGAGAGUCUUAUAUUAACAACAUUUAUCUCUAUGUGAUACUUUGUGUGAACAGAAUUCAGAUCAUUGUAUACAAAGAUAAAACAGUUUGUAUGACUCGAAUAAAAUCUAUAAAAAUAAAUUAGAUUUAAAAAAAUAAGUAAAAAUAAAGUUUUUAAAACA
RNA transcript from Xenopus laevis (African clawed frog), 591 nucleotides. RefSeq lists it as uncharacterized. NCBI's taxonomy places the organism in Eukaryota, Metazoa, Chordata, Amphibia, Anura, Pipidae. The transcript has 4 exons. The record is from RefSeq and is a predicted model, not a curated record.